UGCAGUAGAACGCUGAAGAGAGGAGCUUGCUCUUCUUGGAUGAGUUGCGAACGGGUGAGUAACGCGUAGGUAACCUGCCUUGUAGCGGGGGAUAACUAUUGGAAACGAUAGCUAAUACCGCAUAACAAUGGAUGACACAUGUCAUUUAUUUGAAAGGGGCAAUUGCUCCACUACAAGAUGGACCUGCGUUGUAUUAGCUAGUAGGUGAGGUAACGGCUCACCUAGGCGACGAUACAUAGCCGACCUGAGAGGGUGAUCGGCCACACUGGGACUGAGACACGGCCCAGACUCCUACGGGAGGCAGCAGUAGGGAAUCUUCGGCAAUGGGGGCAACCCUGACCGAGCAACGCCGCGUGAGUGAAGAAGGUUUUCGGAUCGUAAAGCUCUGUUGUAAGUCAAGAACGAGUGUGAGAGUGGAAAGUUCACACUGUGACGGUAGCUUACCAGAAAGGGACGGCUAACUACGUGCCAGCAGCCGCGGUAAUACGUAGGUCCCGAGCGUUGUCCGGAUUUAUUGGGCGUAAAGCGAGCGCAGGCGGUUUGAUAAGUCUGAAGUUAAAGGCUGUGGCUCAACCAUAGUUCGCUUUGGAAACUGUCAAACUUGAGUGCAGAAGGGGAGAGUGGAAUUCCAUGUGUAGCGGUGAAAUGCGUAGAUAUAUGGAGGAACACCGGUGGCGAAAGCGGCUCUCUGGUCUGUAACUGACGCUGAGGCUCGAAAGCGUGGGGAGCGAACAGGAUUAGAUACCCUGGUAGUCCACGCCGUAAACGAUGAGUGCUAGGUGUUGGAUCCUUUCCGGGAUUCAGUGCCGCAGCUAACGCAUUAAGCACUCCGCCUGGGGAGUACGACCGCAAGGUUGAAACUCAAAGGAAUUGACGGGGGCCCGCACAAGCGGUGGAGCAUGUGGUUUAAUUCGAAGCAACGCGAAGAACCUUACCAGGUCUUGACAUCCCGAUGCUAUUUCUAGAGAUAGAAAGUUACUUCGGUACAUCGGUGACAGGUGGUGCAUGGUUGUCGUCAGCUCGUGUCGUGAGAUGUUGGGUUAAGUCCCGCAACGAGCGCAACCCCUAUUGUUAGUUGCCAUCAUUCAGUUGGGCACUCUAGCGAGACUGCCGGUAAUAAACCGGAGGAAGGUGGGGAUGACGUCAAAUCAUCAUGCCCCUUAUGACCUGGGCUACACACGUGCUACAAUGGUUGGUACAACGAGUUGCGAGUCGGUGACGGCAAGCUAAUCUCUUAAAGCCAAUCUCAGUUCGGAUUGUAGGCUGCAACUCGCCUACAUGAAGUCGGAAUCGCUAGUAAUCGCGGAUCAGCACGCCGCGGUGAAUACGUUCCCGGGCCUUGUACACACCGCCCGUCACACCACGAGAGUUUGUAACACCCGAAGUCGGUGAGGUAACCUUUGGAGCCAGCCGCCUAAGGUGGA
RNAcentral lists this ribosomal RNA (1424 nucleotides) under Streptococcus salivarius. RNAcentral's name for it is "bacterial SSU rRNA". It matches the Rfam family "Bacterial small subunit ribosomal RNA". The record is from RNAcentral. Lineage: Bacteria; Bacillati; Bacillota; Bacilli; Lactobacillales; Streptococcaceae.